AACGAACGCUGGCGGCAUGCCUAACACAUGCAAGUCGAACGAGACCUUCGGGGCUUGCUGCGCACGGGUGCGUAACGCGUGGGAACCUGCCCUUAGGUUCGGAAUACCUCCCCGCAAGGGGUGCUAAUACCGGAUAAUGUCUUCGCACCAAAGAUUUAUCGCCUUUGGAUGGGCCCGCGUUGGAUUAGCUAGUUGGUAGGGUAAAAGCCUACCAAGGCGACGAUCCAUAGCUGGUCUGAGAGGAUGAUCAGCCACACUGGGACUGAGACACGGCCCAGACUCCUACGGGAGGCAGCAGUGGGGAAUAUUGGACAAUGGGCGAAAGCCUGAUCAAGCAAUGCCGCGUGAGUGAUGAAGGCCUUAGGGUUGUAAAGCUCUUUUACCCGGGAUGAUAAUGACAGUACCGGGAGAAUAAGCUCCGGCUAACUCCGUG
Molecule: ribosomal RNA, 433 nt
Filed under: uncultured bacterium
Lineage: Bacteria
Description: partial 16S ribosomal RNA
Rfam family: Bacterial small subunit ribosomal RNA
Source: RNAcentral